This is a long non-coding RNA of Amaranthus tricolor (Joseph's coat), 1937 nucleotides long. RefSeq lists it as uncharacterized. The transcript has 4 exons. Lineage: Eukaryota; Viridiplantae; Streptophyta; Magnoliopsida; Caryophyllales; Amaranthaceae. The record is from RefSeq and is a predicted model, not a curated record.
CUCUCACUUCGAUUAAAUCCAGAUAUCAGCCAAACCAAACAAAUCCAAGACAUCUUCUCCGUCUUUUCGCCAUUUUCCCUGAAAAAGAAUGAUCAAUCUGUGUUAGAAGAUCUUCUACAAACAGCCAUUUAUCUUCCUUCCUCUAAUCUUCGAAGGAACUUAGCUGCGAAUUCAACUGGUUUGUUCUCUCUUGCGUUUUUUUUAAGGAGUGCAGCAGCCAAAAUAUUUAUUGUAGCUGCCCUUGAAUUUUGUCGGAAAUGAGGGAAAUCAAGCUUGACUUUGUUUCUGUUUGAGCGGGCACCGAAAAUUCAAGCCAAAGUUGAAUUUAUUUUGGUUGAUUGGGCAUCAAAAAUCUUAUUGUGGCUUCUGAAUUCUGUCGCUAAACAAGGAGGAGGCGUCAUCAUCGAGGAACCCUUCUAGUGAUCGCGAAGAACCAGACUUAGCUUCUUAAAGCGUUCUUGAUCGGAACCAGUCGGGAAUGAUAGAAUAGCGGAGGUGAUUAGAGUUUUCAAGGAUGUUAUAAUGAGCUUAGCAUGUUAGAAUUUUGUAGUUUUGUAUUAAGCCUUGGUAAUUGUAUAUUAGGCUAGACUGUAUUGGUUAUGUUGGACUUGUAUAGAGACUUUUAUGAUUACUUUAUGAGUUAGAUAGAUGUGUGGUUUGGGAAUAACUGAUUUAGCUAUGUUUUAGAACUAAAGACUCAUUUGCACAAGUUUUGGAAUUAAGAUUUGAGUUUUUUUGGGAAGUAAACCCCGUGAUGACCUUGUUUACUCAGUCAAUAGUAAGUCGGGUUGUUACACUCUCAUUGAUCUCAAACCAGUUCUUCGGUUCCCGACCCUUACGUGAGGUGAGAUGGAGCUCAACCUUCGUGUCACAAGGCGGCGGGAUGCCCUGUAACAUAAAUUCUGGGUCAUACGUCAGACAUUUAAGUUAAACCAUUUCUAGGACCGACGACGUUCUAGCGAUAAAGAAAUAAUAAACUAUAAUGAAAAUGAUAAAUCAGUGAAAGUCUUAAAGUUUACAACUUGAGAAUUUACUAGCCUUGUCAAAACUCAAAAAUUAAAGCCUUUUUGCGAUAAGAAGCAUGUUAAAGUUCAUUUGACGAGUAAUAAAAGUCUGGGUGCCACAGUCAGCUCAAUUACUAGUUCUAUUAUUUGGUCCUCACACACUAGUCCCACCUGCAAGUCAACUUGCUAGUCGUCAAAUGACAACAACAUAGCACGUUCCAAAGAACAUAAACCAGUACAAGUCAAAGAUUUCAUACAGUGCAUUAUACAGGUCAUCUUAGCAUGCAAAGACUAAUAGUUUAGAUGUCAUGUUUGGCUUUUCAAAUCUCAACUCAUGUCAUUGCCCGUCCUAUUGGAUCGCCAGAGUAAUAUCAAAGUUUAAAGGAAUACACGGGGAGAGCUAAUCCCAAAGCAACCUUUGACCUAAGGCGUUGUUCGCCCUGUUCGGGUCGUUAAAGGUAAAGUAUGCAUACCCUCAUGGUGACCGUAAUGAUCCAAAAUUGCCAUGAACACGAUAAUAACAAUAAUAUUUUCAAAUCCAACACAACCAUCCUCAAUUUCCAAGCUAAACUCCUUUCCAAUUAUUUGAGGUGUCUAUGCCGUAAGUGAUAUACAACAUCACAUCAUAGAAUGAAAACAACAUUACUUUACAUAAUCAAUUACAAAAGUAUGGUCUAAGCGUGUAUCUUGGUAGCACGAUAAACCAAUUCAAAGCACGUCACGAAUGGAAUCUCAACCUCUUAUGAAUCGAGGUCGUAAACACAAAUACACAUACAAAAUUCACGUAUUACAACGUGUUUAUACAUUCAAUCCACUUUAUACCAUCAAUACAUCACUAAAAUUCAUAAUUUCAAAUGAUAAAAUCCUAAUCUCAAUAAUUUUCAAAUUUCAAAAUACAACCAGUAACUUUAUUGGCCUUUUUCGACAUUUUCA